AGCUGAGGCAUUGGAGCAGGGCAUUUUGAUAGUGGCUGGAGGGCAGGCAGCUCAACCUCUAAACCCCCCUGGUCUGGGCACCAAGUCCUGUCCUGGGCACGGGACACAGUCCUCCAGCGAGACCAAACCCAGCUUCUCUACAGCACCAGGAAGAAGGCAAGCUGGGCCACCAGGGCGCGGCCCCAGGAAGGAAAAUCCUCCAUGGUCCUGUUGACAGAUGUGGUAUCAAAUGAAUUGUUCUCUGCUUAGACACGACUUUGAUAUUUAUUGGUUCAAAUUGCUCGGCUGACUCAGUCUUGCGGACUCUGAUUACACUGGACCUAUCCAAGAUCUGAGAUCAUCAACUCAUCUCAAAAUCCUUAAGCUGACCACAGCAGCAUCGUCCCUUUUGCAGUGUAAGGGAGCCCAGCUGGGACAAUGUGUGAAUCAACGCAUGAAGGAGUGAGUGAGCAGCUAACCAAAUGAAAGAAUACUCAGAUAUCUGGGGUACAGUUCCCCUCCAGGUUUGCACAGCAUCUGCUGAAGUCUCCACUAGAAACUCAAUGGAAGGUCCCCACCGGAAACUGAAAGUCUCCUAGAGUGGCUUUGAGUUGCGGUUUCACCCUCCCUGCAGAUCCACAGGGGAGGCUGGGGCAGAUGGAAAAUACCAACUUGAUGGUCUGUGGCCACACCAUGCUGCUCCCCAAGGCCCCUCAGAAUUUCACUGCCCAAUAUGGUAGCGCCCAGCCUGAAACGUGGCCAGUGUGAAUUGAGAUGGGCUGGAAAUGCACCAGACUUCCAAGAGCUGGACAAAAACCAUAUACGUUUUCCAUCCAGCUGUUUGGCAUUGGAUACUGCUGCCUCUGCUUGACUUGAGAAUGUGUGAGAAAAGCUGUGUUUAGACAACUGAAAACCAUGAGCUUGAAAGUAGUGGGGGCACACUCUUGGAGACUCCAGUUGCUCACCAGCUUGGACAAACCACUGGACUCAAAUGAUCAGGUAGAAAUUCAUCACUGGAGAGAACACAGUGGAAUGGCUUCAGCGAAAACUCACUCUGAAGGUCUUCAGGGCAACUUUAAGACUUGCCCCUGGCCGGGCACAGUGGCUUAUGCCUAUAAUCCCAGCACUUUGGGAGGCCGAGGCGGGUGGAUCACCUGAGGUCAGGAGUUCAAGACCAGCCUGGCCAAUAUGGCGAAACCCUGUCUCUACUAAAAAUCCAAAAAAUUAGCCGGGCGUGGUCGUGGGCGCCUGUAAUCCCAGCAACUCGAGAGGCUGAGGCAGGAGAAUUGCCUGAACCCGGGAGGCAGAGUUUGAAGACAGCCGAGAUUGCACCACUGGGCAACAAGAGCAAAACUCCAUCUCAAAAAAAAAAAAAAAAAAAAAAAUACUUGCCCCGGCUUUUUGUGUGAUGGACUUUCUAUUUACAGACGUGAUAUUUAUCUAUGACUUUACUCAGAGUCUGGCUCAUAGACCAGAAGGACUGGUAUCUCCUGGAGCUUGCAGGAAAUGCAAAAUCUCAAACCCCUGUAUUAGUCAGGGUUCUCCAGAGAAGUAGAGCCAAUGGGAUAGAGACAGGGAUAGGGAUGAUAGAGAUGGAGAUAGAGGUAGAGAUCCAUUGAUUCCUCUGUUAAUAAAUUGGCUCAUGCAGUUGUGACAAUUUCGAAAUCUGCAAGGUAUGUCAGCAAGCUGGAGACCCAGGGAACAGUUGAUGUUGCACCUUGAGUACAAAGGCAGUGUGUCUGGAGCCAUAAUAUCUUCUUGUUAGGAAGACUUUGGUCUUUUCUCUUCUGGCCUUCAACUGCUUGGGUGAGGCCCGUCCCCACUACAGAAGACAAUAGUCUGUUCUACUCAGAGUCUACUGAUUUAAAUGCUCAUCUCAUCCCAAAAAAUACCCUCACAGCAACAUUUAGCCUGUGCAUUUGACCAAACAACUGGGUACCAUGCCCCCCCUCCCAAGUUGACACACAAAAUUGACCAUCAUACCCUCCCCACCCCCAGUCUUACUGAAUGAGAGAGAAUCUGUGCUUCAACAAGAUCCCCAGAAGAGGUAUAAGCGCAGGGAAGUCUGAGAAGCACCACCUUUGAGGCUUAUCCAGGAUGCCCACAUGAGCCUUCUCUGGAUAUGUCAGAUCCCCUUCCUGGCCCCCUAGACACCUCCUCCACUCCCCAAACUUGGAAGCAACAUUGUGGGGAAGCAGGCAGUGAGGCGCUCAGUCUACCACGUUGUGAGAUACACAGCUCCAUCUGUGUAUCAUGAUUUGAUCCAAGGGAAAACAAAAGAUCCAGAAACAUAAGUACUUUUUUGUGAGCUCUCAAAAACUUCCUGUGACAAGAUCAGGUCGUUGAUGCGAGAGCCACACUUGUUUCUUUUUCCUCUUUAUUCUCCACCUCUGACAUAAUACUUAGCAUAAAAAAAAAUCCAAUAAACACCACUGAAUCAAUUAUCUAAGCCUCAGUUUCCCUCUUGUAAUAUGUACUUACCUGGUUGUGGUAGGAAAGACACCAGGCAUGAGAAACACUUAAAAGCCCAGGACCCUGAGCUGGGCACAUGGUAGGUACUCAGGAAGUCAUUGCCGAGUGUUCAGUGCAUGCUUGUUGAAUGAGUAAAUGAGGUCAGGCUUCAGCAUGCAAACACUCGCUAUAAAGCAGGAACCCUGUGCCCUGAGUGCACAAAAUAGAUAUCGAGAAGGAACACAGGCUCAGACAUCAGUGCCAUAUCUGAAGACAUUCAGCUAAUAACAGGAUGGAGUCCAAUCUGCUGGUGUGUGCACACCUGUGCCUGGGUGUCUUUGCUGGUGUGUGCACAUGUGUCUACAUGUGUGGUCGUGAGAGUACACACAGGGGCUGGAGGGUGGGGAAGGGCUUAAUCUAAUCCUGAAAGUGCCAGCAGAACUCUUGGGUGUCCCUCAAAGUCAAGCUUCUUUCCAGGUCAUCGAAGUUUUCACUUGGGUAAUAAUGCACGCAUAAUUAACUGAACAAAUAUAAUGAAUCUAUCUGUAGUGACAUGAUAGUUGGUGCUGAAUCCUAUUAGAGCACAUUUAAUUAAAAAUGCAUUAAACCUUCAAGCUUCUAAACACACCCUGCGCUUCUUCAAAGCCGCCCCUCCGUUAAAGUCUUCCCCACUAUUAACUAUGAGUCAGCCUGUGACCCUUUGGGCAUGACGGGGUGAGGUGAAGUGGCUCUUAAAUGCCUGUGCCAGUAUAUCACAGGCACUAAUGGAUUUAAAUCAGGGAGAUUAAUUCCAUUCAUUCGGCUCCUCAUUUCAGAAACAACUGUCACGCUGAGCCUAAUUGCUGAAGAUGGUUGAAGGCACCAGGAGGCUGGAGUUUCCUGGAGGUGGUUUGUGGCCAACCGUCAAUUACUUGGGCUGCUGUGCAGUGGGGAUAGAAGGAUGAUUAGAAUCCACAGACAACCCAUUGGCCUUUGUUUACCAUUAACUUCUGUUUUCUCCACCAGCCAAGCUCCUCCAGACCCAGGAGAUGGCUCUUCCCUCUGUGUAGCACACUCUUUCCAGUCAAGGGGUCUUGCACUGCUAUUUCCCCUUCUGCUUUGCUUGGUUCAUUCUUACUGACCCUCCAAAUACUGAAGGAAUGAAUGGAGAAAUAAGUAAAUGAGAGAUGUGGCCAAGAGUCUCCAAGAGAGGAAAUUAAAAAAUCCUAUACCUGUGAGGAACUGGCCCACUUGCAAAAGGCGGACUCAUUUGUCACUGUGUUUGCUGGCUGCUCGCACCACACAGUUUCCAGCCUAGGCAUUAUUUCCAACCUCUUUUUCCAAAGGGUCUUUCUAAGGUACAGAAAAUGGACAUAAAAUCGCCCAACGUAGUUGAGAGGUAAGGAGUAAAAGCCGGAAUUUGAACUCCUAAUCUCCUGCCACGAUUUCAUGCUGCCUCUGGGUAAUCUCCCAGCACGUUGCUUAAUCAGCUGCUGAGUCAUUGAGAGCCGGCAGAACCAGCUUCCUGCUGAGGCAGAGUGGGAGGAGGCCCGUCUGGGAGCAGCACACUGAAGGAAGGGAGGAGGAGGUGAUGUUUGGCACAAUCGGAUUGGUUCCCAUGAGGUCCAGGGCUGCGGCUCCUACAGAAGGCACUUUUUGCAUAUGGUAGGCUUCACGGGGUGCAACCUCUGUGUUGUUAGGAGAACCUCGUGCUUGCUAUGAUGCUCUGCUGUCAUUAUCUUGAAAUUCUUAGUCACAUUAAAACACGGGAGCCUACAUGUUUAUUUUGCACUGGAUCCUGCAAAUUAGCCAGUCCUGGUACUGAGGGCAGGUCCCUGGGUGAGUCUCACACAGCCUCCAUCCUUUGGUAAAGCAGCUUUCCUGAUUUAGCAAAUGCCUUACCAGAAAGCCUUUUCCUUGAAGAUGCUUUAACUUUUGUCUUCCCUGGCAAAGCUGUUUCCUUAUGGUAAAGCACCCAGCUCAUAGCUGAUAUUCAAUCCAUGAAGUAGCUCUGUCAGCAGCUGUCAUCAUGAAGACUUUGCAGCCUGCGGGUGGUAGCAUUCUGAAUCGUCAGUCUGUCUCGCUCCUGUAGCAAAUGCACGAUCCGGGAAAGCAUGUCCCAAGCUUUGUUCUGGAGAAGAUUUCUCCAGCUAUCAGAUGGUGUCUGUCAUCACAAUAGCUUAGGAGAUGCUGCUCACUCCAUCCUCCUCACUAAGUGUCACAGUACACUUGGGUAUGUACAAGUCUCUGAGAAGUCCAGCAGCAAAGACACCUUUGUGUUUUGCUGAUUCUAGCCUUUCCUAGACUAGAAGUCUUUUUUUCUAGUCUAGGAAAAGACUGUGGAAUCUUUUCUUUUUUUUCCUGAUACACACAUUCACAUUCCGUGGAACAUUUAGGACGUGGUUAUCUGGUCCUAAAGUAGUAAAGGUGAAGAUGUUGUGGGAGGUGCAAGAAAGAGCAGCAAGGAGUAGAUGGGGCACACUGCAAAGUGCGAUCCCCACAUACCUAAGUUAGUAUCAAUUACUACUAACAAAACUCGGCCAAGACUCUUUUGCAUUCGUUUUGUUUCUCUCUUUUACCCUGAUUAUAUUAAGAAAUAUGACAGGCCUGUGACUCACUGAUUAGACCAUCUUAGUCACUUUGGGUUGUCCCAGCAACAGGAGACUUAACUCUGACCAUAGGUAAGGAGCCCAGAGGACAGGAGAGCAGGGAUUUCUGAGGAUUUAACAAAUGCUUAUAAACAAAUGAUAUCACUUUGAACAAAGUAAUCAAAGUAUCAAAUGCUAUAAACACCACAGUAGGGCAAUGUGUGAAUCAUACUUGUGGUGAGACAUACAUAGAUCAGCUGCAAAGAGGAACUCAAUUCUGCAGAACCUCAGCUGGAGUAACUGAUGUGAAACAUGGACAGGGAAAUGGAAGGAAGUCAGCGGACACGGAAACUCUAGGAACUGAACUUUGACAAGGAACGCCGUCCAUAAUCCCAAGUCCUAUGACUUCAUAGAGGAAAAAAACCCUAGUGGAGCAGAACAGGGCCUCAUAGAGGGGCUGGGGCCUCACUGAGGGCUGGGAAGUUUGAUAGGACUUCCCUUGCUGGUAAGGAACAAAACUGGGUCUCAGGUUCAGGUUUGUAAAGCUAAUUUCAUACAUUUGCAGCAGAUGCUGUCAGUGUCCCUCCCCAAGCCCCUCAGCACUCAGCAUUCAUAGACAUCCUCAUCUUGCAAGCACCUGAGUCUCUCUCUGUAAGGUUUCUGUUGGCCUCAGGGCAGACCAGGGUACCAGGGAGGGCAGACCAGGGUACCAGGGAGCACAGCCCUCAAAGAAAGAUGACAGGAGUUGGUGUAAAUCUCAUGGCUUUCAUGUUACUUAGGGGGACCAAUGCUGAGGCAUGCUUAGCAUGAUCCUCUGUGAGACUGGGCCUCAGGUGUCCGCUGCAGCCGCCUGUUCAUUAGUGUGACAUGCACGGGAUUCCUUCCGUAUCCUGGCCCCUUUCUCUACUUCCCAACCGUGCUUCCUGAGACAUACUCAAAUCCUUGUCUCACACUUGGCUUCUGGGAGAAUCCAACUGCAAAUGCUGUGUUUUAUUUUUUAUUUAUGUAUUUAAUUAUUUGGAGAUAGGGUCUCCCUCUGUCACCCAGGCUGGAGUAAAAUGGCACAAUCCUAGCUCACUGCAAUAUUAAACUCCUGGGCUCCAGUAAUCCUCAGCCUCCAGGAGCUGGAACUACAGUCGUGCACAGCAAUGCCAGCUAAAGUUUCCUUUAAAUUUUUUGUAGAGUCAAGAUCUCACUAUUUCAGUCAGGUCUUGAACUCCUUGCCUCCCAAAGUUCUGGGAUUACAGCACUUGGCCUCCCAAAGUGCUGGGAUUACAGGCGUGAGCCACUGCAUCUGGCUGUUUAUUCCAUUAAAAUGAUUGAAGGAGUCUCUUGCUUUGGGAAUUUUGCUCCCGUGGUGAGAACACUAUGGGAAUGACAUCUCAAGAAUAUGGCUCCUUCAAAUGAAUUUAAAAUGGUCUUUCUAUUUUUGUCCAGUGGUUACAAUAGCUGAUGGGCUCGAGGUAAGGAGAUGCUAAGCUGCCAUUCUCUCCUUCAACCCAUGGCAUUUACUGAGCUUCUAAAUCAGUCAGGCCCUGGGCUGGACCCUGGGCAUGCAGACUGAAUCAGAGCCUUCAGGACUAGCAGGAGAGACAGGUAUAUAUAGUGGCAAGGGCAAUAUUUAUUCACUCAUUCAUUCUUUUUCCUUUUUUAUGUGCCAAAUCUUUAAUGAGGGCCUACCUUGUACUCAGGAACACCAGGAAUAAACAGAAAACAAAAAGAUAUCAUUUCUGGACUCAGUUCACCAUCUAGAGAAAAAAAAAAAAAAAAAAAAAGACCUGAAAUGGACAAAUACAGUACUGUUUGACAAAUGUCACGUAAGAAGAAGCCCAUGAUACUGAGGAUGGUAUAGGAGGGGCCGUAUCCAGGUUGAAGGAGUCAAAUAUGACAGCUGCCGUGAGAAUUACAAUCAGAAAACCAUGACCCGGAUGCUUAUCCUAUUCAUUGCUUGAGCCUGAGAACACAAACACACAGGGUGUGGCUGAAAUUCCUCUGAAAUUGUAUUGAUUUGAGAAAACUGCAAUCUUGUGUUAAAAUGUGAAUCAUACACAAGGAUGCAAAACAGUUACCGCUGACCAUAAAUCUAGGCUAUCAGAAUGGAAUCUGAUGGCUUGUCUACCAGACUGCAUUGUGAAACCAAUCAAAUGGGAGAUAGACUCACCACUUACCAAGUACCUCUGAGACACCAGGCACCCUGUGGGGUGCCCUACUCAUCAUCUUGUUUAACCAGUUGAUUGGGAAUAGCUCCAUUUUACAGAGAAAGACUGUUAGGCAGCUUUCUAAGAUGGCCCUAAUUAUUCCUUCCUUCUGGUAAUCCCCUUCCUUUAAAUGUGGGCUACACUUAAUUACCUGCUUUUAACAAACAGAAUAUAGCAAAAGUGAUGGGAUGUCAGGAGACUGAAUCAGUAACCAAAAACCUCCAGACAAAGAAAAGCCCAGGGCCAGAGGGCUUCACUGGUAAAUUUACCAAACAUUUAAAGAAGAAUUAGCACCAGUCUUUCUCAAACUCCUCAACAAAUUGAAGAGGAGAGAACACUUCUAAAUACACUUUAUGAGGCCAGCAUUACCCUAACAUCAGAGCCAGACAAAGACACAAGAAAAGAAAACUACAGACUAAUAUUUCUAAUGAAUCUUGAUGCACAAAUCCUCAAAAAAGAAGAAAACAUACUAGCAAACAUAAUUCAGCCGCACAUUAAAAGGAUUAAGCACCAUGACAAAGUGGGAUUUAUUCUUAGUAUAAAAGGAUAUUUCAACGUAAAAAAGUCAAUGUAAUAUAUCACAUUAAUAGAAUGAUGAGAAAAAAUCCACAAGAUUAUCCCAAUUGAUGCAUUUAACAAAACUUAAUACUCUUUCAUGAAAAAACACUCAACAAACCAGGAAUACAUGAAACUACCCCAACAUAAGACAGUCCACAAAUGAAAAGCUCACAACCAACAUAAUACUCAUGGUGAAAAGCUGAAAGCUUCCUCUAAGAUCAGGAAUGAGACAAAAAUGUCCACUUUUGAAUCAACCUGUAUUCAACAUAGUAUAAGAAGUCCUCGCCAGAAUUUUCAGGAAAAAAAAAAAAGAAAGAAAAAAAAGCCAGUCAAAUUGAAAAGAAAGAAGAAAAAUUAUCUUUGCUCACAAAUGACAUGAACUUAUAAAACUCCUAGAAUUAAUAAAUGGAUGCUGCAAUGUUGAAGGAUACAAAAAUCAACACACAAAAAUCAGUUAUGUUUUUAUAUACUAACAAUGAAUGAGCCAAAAAUGAAAUUAAAACAAUUCCAUUUACAAUAGCAUCAGAAAGACUAAAAUACCUAACAAUAAACUUAACCAAGGAGGUAAAAUGCUUGAGUAUUUAGACACUAAAAAUUAUAAGGCCUGCACGGUGGUUCAUACCUGUAAUCCCAGCAUUUUGGGAGGCAGGUGGAUCACUUGAGGUUAGGAGUUUGAGACCAGCCUGGCC
RNAcentral lists this long non-coding RNA (8442 nucleotides) under Homo sapiens (human). Its description in RNAcentral is "HSALNT0098203". Lineage: Eukaryota; Metazoa; Chordata; Mammalia; Primates; Hominidae. The record is from RNAcentral.